Molecule: non-coding RNA, 1480 nt
Organism: Leptonychotes weddellii (Weddell seal)
Lineage: Eukaryota; Metazoa; Chordata; Mammalia; Carnivora; Phocidae
Source: RefSeq, a predicted model, not a curated record
UGUGGGUGGCUUCAAACACUUGGGGGCAAGCAGCUCGACAGCUCUACACUGCUGAGUGGAGGAAAUAACAAGAAAAGAACAAGAGGCUGUUUAUUGACAGUUCCCUGAGGCUGAGACAGAUGGGAACCGAGAAAAGAUUACAGAAUUGGGGCAGCUGGGACGCAGCUCCCGACACACCUGGGCGUGCUCGGUGAUGGCUUCAGACAGCCUCCUUCAGACAAGCAGCAAACCACACGGAAAGGUGCCUGGAACGGAGUCAGGAGUCAAGUUCUUUAGAGGGAGGCAUCCGGGUGAAGAGGAAGAUUGCAUCUCGCUGGCACUAGGGAGAUGGGGCCAAGGCUGGCCUGGUGCCUGUCCUUCUGCUGUCUCUACAGCAGUCCACCUGGUCCUGUCCUCAGAGAAAGUGUAUCUGUGGAAAUAUGUAAUGGAGCGCCCAAGCAAUCUCACCAUUGUGGAGUCGAAAGCACCCAGGAUGACAUCUGAAUCUCUGCUGCUGACCUUGUUUCCCUAAGGUUCCCUGGCAAAACCAUGUGGAUGAGAGCAUGACCAUUAGAAAAAGGGCAUUUUAAACCUCUGGGUUUUUUUCAAGUUAAAAACAUACAAACCACUUUUCUAUAGUCAUAUAGUUAACUUUUGAUUAUUCAGGGACACGGGGAUAAAAGUUAGGAUGACCAAACCAGGAAAAACAGGGGAAAGAAAAAAGGAAACAACUGUAAAGUUCAUUUUUAAAAAUCAGAGUAAAAUGAAAGAAUUAAAAUCAAGUAUAUCUGUUCUUACACUAUGAAUGGACUGAACUUGUCCAUUAAAGUCAGAAACUGAGUGAGCUUAAAAAGAAUAAACCGCCCUAAAUGCUGUUUCCAACGAACACCUGACACACAAUGACAAAAAGGAAAUGGGAUAGUAAGUUACCUCAAAAUCCAUACUUGUUCAUGAUUUUAACUGCUUUCCUCCAUCCGACUUCUUGCCUCAAGCAAGGUUUUUAGAAAAGUCAAAUUGGCAAUCUUAAGGACCCCUAAUAUUUACAAACAACAUAAUUCUCCAGUGCAAAUAUAAGUAAAGAAUUUAUGUUAAAGCAAGUUGUAUCUGUCAGGGUCCAGUCAGGAAGACAGAAAUUGCAACAACAGACAAAUUCAUAUGAGGAACUGGUUACACAAGUUGUUGGAGGGACCAAAGGGCAAAAGGAGACACAGCAAGGUGACACAGACAGCGAGUGCAGGAAACAGCCAUCAUCCUAUGGCUGGGGGAAGCAAAAGGGAAGUUGGGGCUGUCAGAAUCUAGAAGUCAAACCCAAUUUGUAAUACCUGAAACCUAGAGCCCGUUGGAGGAUUUUCUCCCAACACUGCUCAUGUCAUGUUAUGUUAGGAAAGAGAUAGAUAGUAGGCAUGACCCAGGAAAAUUCUCUCUGUUCUGAUGUAGGAAAGACGUUAUUAGGGUUCGAAGCCGACCACCAAGAAAGAAGUCUUGAGACGUCUUUGGUGCA